Molecule: ribosomal RNA, 254 nt
Filed under: uncultured bacterium
Lineage: Bacteria
Description: partial 16S ribosomal RNA
Rfam family: Bacterial small subunit ribosomal RNA
Source: RNAcentral
UACGUAGGGAGCAAGCGUUGUCCGGAUUUAUUGGGCGUAAAGAGCUCGUAGGCGGCUUAGAAAGUCAGGUGUGAAAACUUCAGGCUCAACCUGGAGACGCCACUUGAUACUUCUAUGGCUUGAGUUUGGUAGGGGAUCACGGAAUUCCUGGUGUAGCGGUGAAAUGCGCAGAUAUCAGGAGGAACACCGAUGGCGAAGGCAGUGAUCUGGGCCAAUACUGACGCUGAGGAGCGAAAGCGUGGGGAGCGAACAGG